CGAGAGAGCGUUGCCGCAGGCAACGACCCGAAGGGCGAAGCGCGCAGCGCUAGUAAUCCUUCCCCCACCACCA
RNAcentral lists this small RNA (73 nucleotides) under Escherichia coli. RNAcentral's name for it is "partial RtT sRNA". It matches the Rfam family "RtT RNA", at positions 58 to 130 of the family's 130-position model. Rfam says of the family: This family represents a bacterial cis-regulatory element known as RtT RNA. The exact function of RtT is unknown although it is thought that it may be involved in changing the cellular response in relation to amino acid starvation. The record is from RNAcentral. Lineage: Bacteria; Pseudomonadati; Pseudomonadota; Gammaproteobacteria; Enterobacterales; Enterobacteriaceae.